Long non-coding RNA from Phyllostomus hastatus (greater spear-nosed bat), 311 nucleotides. RefSeq lists it as uncharacterized. The transcript is spliced from 3 exons. Lineage: Eukaryota; Metazoa; Chordata; Mammalia; Chiroptera; Phyllostomidae. The record is from RefSeq and is a predicted model, not a curated record.
UCUGACAUGAUAGAAAGGACCACUAUACAGCUUAUAAAAGCAGGAGAUACAAGUUUCUACCACCUUGGGCAGAGAUACAAAGAAACAAAAAGAUGGAAGUCCCAAAUGCCACGCCAUGUGAGGGUGUCGCCACAUCCUGGUGGGAGCAGAACAGCCAAUCAGAAUGGACAGGGGCAGUUGCCCUGAAGAAGGAUUCCGGAAGGCCCAUCUUGUUACAGAUGCUACCACUAUUUGUUGCUGGAUAACGGGGAGACAGAAGGAGGUGAUUCAGAAGGCCGCAGCUAUGGGCAACUGGUGAUUGACAGCUUUAC